Molecule: ribosomal RNA, 754 nt
Filed under: uncultured bacterium
Lineage: Bacteria
Description: bacterial SSU rRNA
Rfam family: Bacterial small subunit ribosomal RNA
Source: RNAcentral
AAUGAACGCUGGCGGCAUGGCUAAGACAUGCAAGUCGAACGGACUAUGUUGAAGAGUAAUCCGAUGCAUAGUUAGUGGCGAAAGGGUGAGGAAUAGACAGGUAACGUACCUUUGGCUUCGGAAUAGCCUAUCGAAAGGUAGGGUAAUGCCGGAUGAUGUCAUCCGUGUAAUGCGGGUGACCAAAGAUUUAUCGGACAAAGAGCGGCCUGUUUCCUAUCAGCUUGUUGGUGAGGUAAUGGCUCACCAAGGCGACGACGGGUAGCGGGACUGAGAGGUUGGCCCGCCACAUCGGGACUGAGACACUGCCCGGACCUCCACGGAGGGCUGCAGUAACGAAUAUUGGGCAAUGGGCGAAAGCCUGACCCAGCAAUGCCGCGUGUAGGAUGAAGCUUUUCGGAGUGUAAACUGCUUUCAGGGAUUAGAAAGCUACGGUUGAUCAAUCCCGGAAGAAGUCACGGCUAACUUCGUGCCAGCAGCCGCGGUAAUACGAAGGUGGCAAGCGUUAUUCGAAAUCACUGGGCUUAAAGGGUGCGUAGGCGGAACUGUAAGUGUCUUGUGAAAUCCCUCGGCUUAACCGAGGAAUGGCUUGGCAAACUACAGUUCUUGAGGCAAGUAGGGGUGUGUGGAACUCUUGGUGGAGCGGUGGAAUGCGUAGAUAUCAAGAGGAAGGCCGAAGGUGAAGACAGCACACUGGACUUGUACUGACGCUGAGGCACGAAAGCGUGGGGAGCAAACAGGAUUAGAUACCCUGGUA